RNAcentral lists this ribosomal RNA (498 nucleotides) under uncultured bacterium. Its description in RNAcentral is "partial 16S ribosomal RNA". It matches the Rfam family "Bacterial small subunit ribosomal RNA", at positions 30 to 523 of the family's 1533-position model. The record is from RNAcentral.
AUUGAACGCUGGCGGCAUGCCUUACACAUGCAAGUCGAACGGUAACAGGUCUUCGGAUGCUGACGAGUGGCGAACGGGUGAGUAAUACAUCGGAACGUGCCUAGUAGUGGGGGAUAACUACUCGAAAGAGUGGCUAAUACAGCAUGAGAUCUACGGAUGAAAGCAGGGGAUCGCAAGACCUCGUGCUACCAGAGCGGCCGAUGGCAGAUUAGGUAGUUGGUGGGAUAAAAGCUUACCAAGCCGACGAUCUGUAGCUGGUCUGAGAGGACGAUCAGCCACACUGGGACUGAGACACGGCCCAGACUCCUACGGGAGGCAGCAGUGGGGAAUUUUGGACAAUGGGCGAAAGCCUGAUCCAGCAAUGCCGCGUGCAGGAAGAAGGCCUUCGGGUUGUAAACUGCUUUUGUACGGAACGAAAAGCCCCGGGUUAAUACCCUGGGGUCAUGACGGUACCGUAAGAAUAAGCACCGGCUAACUACGUGCCAGCAGCCGCCGUAA